AUACCCGAUCUCGUCUGAUCUCGGAAGUCAAGCAAUCUCGGGCUUGGUUAGUACUUGGAUGGGUGACCGCUUGGGAAUACCAAGUGUGAUAAGCA
Molecule: non-coding RNA, 95 nt
Organism: Ciona savignyi (Pacific transparent sea squirt)
Lineage: Eukaryota; Metazoa; Chordata; Ascidiacea; Phlebobranchia; Cionidae
Source: Rfam